UGAAUUUUUGUUGUAGUUGUUUUGUGAUACACAACCUAAAUAUCUAACCAAAGCAAAACCAUGACCCACAAAUUAAGGGGUGGAACCAAAAAGUAAGGGAAACUAAUCACAACAUCCCUGAAAAGUACAUAUUUGUGCAGCAUCAGACCUAAAUUAACAUUAUUUGCACUGAUAGGGCUUCGUUAGCUUUCCCUUAACAGACUUGUAUUUUGAAUGAACUUCCAGCUGUCUCGUGGUUUCGUCAAACCUCUCUAACUUGUUCAGUGUGCCGUACAGCAGCCUCCAUAUGACAGUUCCUGAAUGGACCCACAUGCGUUCACAUGAUUGCUGAUUGGAGCCAGAGCAGAUAAGAACUACUGCAGUGCUGAAAGCUCCGGACCUCUUUCCCCCCCCGGACUCCAAAGAGACGUGAAGAAGGAUGGAGUUUGACAGCGUGUUCUGUGUGUGGGCGUCUGCUCUGUUUUACUUCAGCCACAGCUCAUCCAAGACAUCCCAGGAAGGAAGACCAUCCUUUUUUUUUUUAAAAACGAGAAGGAGCGGAGUGACUCCUGGAGAAAAACAGACGGGCUGGUUCUUCAGGAGCGUCUGACGUCCUGACAGUCCAAACAAGGACCCUCAGACAAAACAGAACCCGGCUGGAUGGGGAACAAUGGACUCUGGAGGCAGUUCUCAGGGAAAUCCUCUGCAGGGUGACUUCACCGGCUUUGACCACAAAUGGACAUCUGAACGCUGGAUCUGAGGAGAAUCCCACCAGAAUUUGCUGUUCUCAUCCUGUUUCAUGCUGCAGAUGAGACAUACAAUGACGGAGCCUCUUUUUCACGUUGAUCCGUCUUCGUCUCCUUCACCUGCGACGGUGUCACUUUCGGUUCUGCCUUUUCGGCCUCGGGGGGCUGGUUCAGGGCUUCGCUCAGAGCCGUGAUCAUCCUGGCCGCCUCCCCCGGAGCCUCCGAGUGGUCCAGGCUGCAGGUCAAACUGAAGGAUCUGAGGGGUCGGAAACAGAGCAACGUGACGUCAUUACGGAGGCCCCAGAGGGACGAACGCCGCGGUCACACAGCAGGGGCCCGAACGGAAAAUGUCGUCUGUUUGUUUCAAAGCUCACAGAUGAGAAAAUAAACAAAGAGGAAGUCCAUCUAUAAAUGAGCAGAACGCACAUGAAGACUAGCAAGAGUCUGCCGUUAUGAUGCGGAUCACGACACAAUCCAUAUAACAGGACUGUAACAGAGACAAUAAAAUCACAAAUUUUAAAAGAGCAAAACUAUCUGAAUGCUAAUACACUUUUCCAUGAAUAAAAUUAAAAAACAUUUUAGUUAA
Oryzias latipes (Japanese medaka) is the source of this 1311-nucleotide non-coding RNA. Lineage: Eukaryota; Metazoa; Chordata; Actinopteri; Beloniformes; Adrianichthyidae. The record is from RefSeq and is a predicted model, not a curated record.